This 65-nucleotide transfer RNA is filed under the name Nasutitermes corniger. Its description in RNAcentral is "tRNA-Ala". The record is from RNAcentral. Lineage: Eukaryota; Metazoa; Arthropoda; Insecta; Blattodea; Termitidae. RNAcentral also lists the same sequence under 3 other names.
GGGACUAUAGUUAAUAAUAACAUUUGAGUUGCAUUCAAAAAGUACUACCCACGUAGUUAGCCUCA